UGUAGCUAUCCUGUGAAAGCAUGCAACAGUAUUAUUACAGGAUUGACUCCAUUACAUUGGCUGUCCCUUGUAUCCCUAGGACUCAUUCAUUCCAUAGCUGUUGCCGGUAUCUCUCUCAAAGGUAUUCAUUCUUUAUCUAACCUAAGUAUUUUGGUGGUAAACACAAUUACCACUUGCUCAGCAAGUGUAAAUUGGCGGUCUAUUUUUCUGUGAACAUUGCUUAAACCAUUACAAAUGAUGUCAUUACGUUAAUAAAGUCGGUUUCAUUCUUCACUCACAAGAAAGGAGAAGGAAAAGAUUUCUUUGUGUCCCAGGCCCUGUCAUUAAAACCUUUCCCAAUGUGGACAACAGGUUUAGUAGCCCAGGCACCUUCAGUGUCUCAGCUGAGCGACCAGGGCCUUGCACAUUGCAAAAAUUCCCAUGAUGGCCAACAGAGAGAGCUCGAGCACCACAGACCCGGAGAGGCGGGUUCCUCUGCCCAGGCAGUGAUGGCCAGCAGAAGGCGCACCAUCGGCUUUUCUGACCCAGGGCACCUGAGAGCAGGAAGGGCUUUGAUUGCUCCCAGAGUACUCAGGGCCUCUGCCGCUGCCUGAGUACAGAGAGCAGAGCUGCAUUUCCAGCAGGUUGUGCCGCCUGCCCCAGGGGAGAUCUUGGGAGCUUUGUAGCCACUUGGCAUCUCCUGAGUCGCCAGAGAGAGUUUGUCUUAUUGUACUGAGUGCUGAGGAAUGGGCGCUGGGUGGCUUCCCUGGGCAAGCUGGUUGCUGAGAUGCACAGGCCCUUGCAUUUUCUGGGCUGUUCCCGUGUUUCAUUCCUCCCCUUCCUGGACAGUAUUUGAACAAGACAUAUUUUACUAAAGGUCUUGUGGAUUGCGGAGUCCCACGACAUCACCUCAUCGAUGCAGUCGAUGGUUUGUUCCAGAUUCAGGCUUGUUUCCGGGAAGAAACCCCGACAGAAAUUCAGAAGAACAGGAGCUGCAUUCCGUUAGGACAUGAAUACAUGAAAUGCUCGUCUUGGCAACUCCUAGAAGAAUGAGCUGGGACCCACUUUCUGAGUCCUGCUAGAACCAUUGACGGAGGUCUUGUGGAUUGCGGAGUCCCACGACAUCACCUCAUCGAUGCAGUCGAUGGUUUGUUCCAGAUUCAGGCUUGUUUCCGGGAAGAAACCCCGACAGAAAUUCAGAAGAACAGGAGCUGCAUUCCGUUAGGACAUGAAUACAUGAAAUGCUCGUCUUGGCAACUCCUAGAAGAAUGAGCUGGGACCCACUUUCCGAGUCCUGCUAGAACCAGAGACCAAGAAAAUAAAAACGCCCUGGAAGACAAGUGUAAUGCAUUGAGGUCUGUGAAAGCCACAAAGGAAGCAAAAGUCAAACAGCUGAAAGAGAAAGCACAUAACCUGGAAGAAUUCUAUGAACAAAGAAAAGUGCCUACAAAAAAAGAAGCUGAAAAUGACACUGUGAACUGGCGGCAAAGAAGAAUCAGCUAGCAGCUGCAGAUCUCAAGUAGUGACCAGACUGUGUGGAAACUUUGUCCAUGCUAACAUUCCUCGGGGGUGGUGUCAAUUGUCAUCAUCUGUAGGAAAGCAGUGUGUCGUACAAUGAAUCAUACCCAUCAACGUGGUAGUGCCAUUUCAUGGCCCUCGUCUUUGCAACCCUGGGAAACAUGGCAACAAAUUGAACAAACACGGGAACAGCUGCAGCAGGCAGAGCUCACCUUUAGAUACCAGUUCACGAGAAGAAUGCUCAGGACAACUAGGUAAGUGUUUUCUUGUUUCCUCCUCUUUCUUUGGUGCACAGUGUGGCACCACCUUCCGACUGAAGGUGGAUGUGUUUUUUCUCCCCCAGAUCAAGACUCAGAUCUGGGACAGGGAGAUGGCGGAGCAGGGCAGGGAGGUCGCUUACUUGAAAUACAGGUGUGGUCAUUUGACUUGCGUUUUUAUGGGUGUUUCCAGGGAUGACGCCUGCACUGUUAGUUGUCUAGUAGACGACGUGGUGUUGCAACUCUUAUAGAAGUCCAUUAUUUUUCUGUAUCCAAGACUGGACGGGGAUGGAACCAAAGAGGCUGCCUGAGGGAUACACGAGGCAGAAACCAAUCACUGCAAGAACCCUCCAAGGCGAGGGCAGUCUGGAUCCUGGGGACCUCCUCCGUUAACUGGACGAUUCUGCAUGCCCUACCCUGGAGACGCCCCACCCCCAUGGACUAUUAGGCACAUACACCUCCUGAACCUUGGCAGCCCUGGGGCCACCCGAAACCCCUCCACCUGCAACACUUGGUAAGACGAUCUGAGCACUAGGAGUUGACUUUUAAAACACACUCACCUUAUUUUUGUUGCUGUUAGGUCUUGGGCCAAGGUGCAGAAGCGGUACCACAGACCAUUGUGAUGCAAGGGGCCGUAUGCAGAAAAUCAGACAUAGCGCUUCAGCAGAAAUGCCCUGUACACAGUCCACGUGCUGGGAUCUGUGAGUAACGUAUGUCCAUCUAGUUGUGCCCCCAGCCAUCCAUAGUUGUUCGAUGAGUGAUGAAUACAUCUGAGUCAGGGCUUUUAGGAGUCUUCAUCAAGUUAUAAGGGAUGGUUCUUCAAGUUCUUCUUGGGGAUCACCGGAGGCAUGUGGGACACCCUGUGCAUGUAAUUUGGGAUCACACUGGGACAAAGAGUUUAAGUUGUCGGAAGUAUGAGGGGAGGGUUUUUUGUUUUGUUUUUGACCUCCAAACAGUCUACUCAAGUCAGAAUAAACCUCCAUCCCUUCUAGGGCUUUUUGCAGGUCCAGAAGUAGGUGUCACAACCAAGAGUGACAUCGACACUGACUCUGCCAAAACUGCCAAGAAGCACAAAGUAAAUGCUGUGGCGAUUUUCAGUUCUAAGUCUUUACGGACCGCCACAUCUUUCUGUACAGGACACUCUCCUGCCAUUGUCUCUGGUUUGUGUGUCGUAUGGUCUGUCUGGUGUUUUUGUUGGUUUUUUUUCCCCAAAUGCAAAACCUUUACUGCCGAGUCUACGGGCUUCCCUGUUUCCCAGCUGGCAUCUGUUUGUGGUAACUUGAGCAGCUAAGAGUGCCUCAAGGUAGGGACCAUAGGGCUUUUCUAAUGUGUUCCUGGAAUAAAUCAAGGAGGAUGACACCACAUUCCACUUGGAAGUCUCCUACCUUGCCUCAUUCUUUGUGGAUCUCCUCAUUGUGGAAUCAUUGCUCUUGCUGUGUCUGCCUCUCCUGUUUCCUUCUAUUGAGGAUUUUAACGUGCUCAGAAAAAUCUGUGGGCAUCGUUAAAAUUUGAAAAUGCGAACUGCCUUCACUCCAACUUACAUUUUUGUAUGUGUCCUUUAGAAUGUAAAUUUCAUACCCAUCAGCAUGUGGGUAAACAUGCUGUCCAGAAUCACACUCUGAACUAUAAGAGGUGGCAUGUUUGUGAUAGAAAACAUGCACUGAAACUUCAGUUGUGAAGAGAAAAAAAUCCAAAAUUACCUGUGUGGCAAGUCCCCACGGUGUCCUUCACUUGUGUUCACAUGAGCACGUUCUCUCGUGUCCUGUGUCACAGGUACAGCUAAAACAUGGAAACUUACAGCAGACAUCAAAGUGCAUUUGUGUUAACUUUGUCUUUUAGAAUUUCAGCUCAUUUUUCCAGAGGACACAAUUACCCUGCAAAGUGUACUGCACUUAAGCUGAGAAGUACCUCCGAAGUAAAAUAACUUAGCUGAACCCAACUAACAGGCUAUUUUGUAUGCAAGAGUCCUGGUCCUUUCCCAGGAUUGCCUUGCAGGCUGUGCCCCGCGGACCACCCUUCACCACCAGUCAUGGGCUAUAGGCCACAUCCCCUCCUCCACUUACUCUAUUUGUUAAGAUGACCUGAACUGGCUGAGUGGCUGGACAACUCUUUUGAAAUUGAAGAGGACUGUGCACGGUGACAGACAAUCGUGUUUGCAUAUACAUUUUCAGAAGGUGUCAGAUCUACCUGAAUGCUUUCCCUGCCCAUCCUGUCCCCUCCACUUUGUCCUUCCUACUGUCCCCUAAUCUACGUUUCAUCGUUUUGUCUCUGUGUCAGCGUCUGCUUCUAGGGCUAUCUACUCUCUCUCCCCAUUGAGUGCACACAGUGGGGUUCCUGUACACACAGGAAACAAAGUGCCAGAAAUGGUGGUGAGAGAGGAUAGAAGCAAGAUCACCCUUUGUGCAGGGGAGCCUGAGGGAGUUUUCCGGGGCGAUGGGAACUACCUAUAUCUAGAUUGAUGGGGUGCUUAUGCUCAAUUAUUUUGGAAAUAUUCCCUGACUCCAUGGUGCCUUGGGGUCAGAUAGGUAUCUGUCCUUAGGAAAUGGCUGAGUUCUAAUGGUGGAGAAGGAUGAGGGACCAGCAGUGACUGUGGUAGAGGAGUGAGGGUCAGACCCAUGCCCAGAAUGCCAGGUCUCCACAGACAGCACCACUUGUAGGAGGACUCUGAGGAGCAGAGAUUUCUUGAUCAAACCCAUGAACUACAUAAUCCUGCUGUAGUUUCCUCACUGAGCGAUGGCCAGAACAGAGGCCAGCAGCUGGAGGACACCCUGAUCAUGGCUAAAGUGGAGGAGUAGGCCUGGGGGAUUGAGUCAGGGAAAGGGACUGGCAGAAGGUAGUGACAGGGAGUUUGAGAGACAAAUGGAAGAGAAGAGAAGGGACCCUUCUCUGCUGACUUCACCUACAUUUCUGUGUGACCAAAACGAGACCCUUGUCUCCCAGGGAAGGGAAGAGGGCUGGCAAAAAGACAGAGUGACAUACUCAGCUCAAGUGCCCAGGGUAUCUGCCUUACUCUUGAGGACCUAACACAGGAAGCACGUGCUUUCUGUCAUGAUUGGAACUGCAGCUCGUACCAUUUAGUGAAAAUCAAUCCAACUAUGCAUCCCUCAGCAUUAAAGUACUCCAACAAAAUUAAGUGAACAGACUGAAAGAUACAACACAGGAUAAAGUCCAAAGGUAGAUUGACAGCAAUACUUACGGGAAUACAGUCUAUCCGAAAAGGAGGUAGGUACCCUAGUGCAGCUCUUCAGACACCUGGCCGAUAUCUGAAAACAUAAAAAAAAAAAAAAAGUCCUUACUCCAAAAGCAACAUUAGCGCUAGACACAAAGGGAUCAUGAUUAAGUUUUAGAGAGCAACCAUAUGACUUCAUGGUGCUGUAUCCAUGAGAACAAGUCUCAUCAAAUUAUACCCUUUAAUUUGAGGCUCUUUGUUAGAUGUAAAUUAUACCUCAUUAAAGAGAGUUUCAAAGCACAAAAUACUAGAAGCAAAUGUGGGAACGUUCCUUUCUAAUCCUGAAGUGCAUGGGUGAGAUGAGUCUGCCCAUGUCUCAAAAAUCCAAAAUAAUACACUUAAAAAAUUAAUAAUAGCAGACCCUGAGCUCACGCUGUCCCAUGUUUUCAACUGCAUAACAUCCACAUCCAAGUCCAUGAACCAGCGAGGGAUCCAAGACUGGCACAACAAACUCCACACCUAAGUAGAAGCUGCAGCAGGAAGGUUAGGAAGGUCAGAAAGUUGGAGGCUGGCUGCCUGCAGAAGGAGCAGAGAAAGUGAGCCCUCACACAGGGGAGCUGACACAGGGAAGACUAACCUCCAUAACAUUUGGCAUUAAAACCCAGAGGGGCUGAAUUCCCUUGAGUUUACAUCCUGGUGCUUUGGAGGUCAGCCGACCCAGCACCGGGUGAUCCAGAAGGAUGAGUGAUAGCCACGUCCCUGCCUGUGUAGAGACGCAACGUAAACAUGGCAUUUCACACAAUGCUUAGGCCACAGGAGACACAUGUAUUCAUGCUGAUUCUUGACUCAGCUGGCCUGCCUGGGUCCCACUGACACCACUGAGAGCAAGCAGAGCCCACAACAGACACGCAAUCAGUGCAGACCCCUGCACUGAAAGGAAAAGUAACCCAGACACAACAGCAGGGAGUGAGCAAUACCCAUACGCUAUCCUCCUGAAGGUCCAGGGCCUAUAAAUGGAGACGUGCACUGCUGAGGACUCCAGGACCUCUUUUUCAUACUGUCGUUAAUUUCAAGAUCAAAAGGCACAGCGACUUUCUUAACACAGAGAAAUAGAGCCAGAGAGACAGACAAAAUGGACACACAGAGAUGU
Felis catus (domestic cat) is the source of this 6073-nucleotide long non-coding RNA. RefSeq lists it as uncharacterized. The transcript is spliced from 10 exons. Lineage: Eukaryota; Metazoa; Chordata; Mammalia; Carnivora; Felidae. The record is from RefSeq and is a predicted model, not a curated record.